RNAcentral lists this long non-coding RNA (444 nucleotides) under Olea europaea (common olive). Its description in RNAcentral is "long non-coding RNA (OEUR_LNC003313)". The record is from RNAcentral. Lineage: Eukaryota; Viridiplantae; Streptophyta; Magnoliopsida; Lamiales; Oleaceae.
UUUUGUGACCCCUAAUAAAAGUUUUGUGACCUAUAAUUAAUCAGGUUAAGAUCACAAUCACACACAAUUUAUAGUCACAGUCACAUACCAAUCACAAAUUUAGUUGCAAAUCAUAUGUUAUUUAGGUUACAUAUUAUUUAUCAGAAUGUCAGUCACAAAGACACAAAUUGUGAGUUACAAGUACAAAUUUUAUCAUAAAUUAUAUAUUUUUAUGGGUUACGGUUUAUUUAUCAAACAGAAUUCAUCAAAUUCACUGGUCAUAAUUAUCCAAUCACUGGUUACAAUUUGCUCUUCAUCUCCCCUACCUCACCUUACCCACGCAUCAUACUCCACCAUAGUCCCUCACCAUCGAAAUCACUGUCGCCACCUCAAACCCACAACCUAGCACCUCCUCCUCCUCAAAUUCACUGUCACCUCCAUCACACCACCACUACUGCCAUCACC